Molecule: long non-coding RNA, 2196 nt
Organism: Eriocheir sinensis (Chinese mitten crab)
Lineage: Eukaryota; Metazoa; Arthropoda; Malacostraca; Decapoda; Varunidae
Exons: 3
Source: RefSeq, a predicted model, not a curated record
UUAAGUUACAUCCAAGGUGCCAAGUCCUUUCCCUGUCCUAAGCAAUGUUACGUAAAUCUAUCUACCUAUCUAUCUAUAUAUCUAUCUGUCUACCAAUCUAAUAAUUUUUGCUUGAACUUGUUUACCAUUCAUAAUUAUUUUAGCAUUCUUUUUCACAUUCAAUUCCCAGCCUCUAUGAAUCCCACUCUUUAAGGCCACACAAAACCCACAGCCUCCCUUCACAGGACUCCUGUGACAUCAAGAUCAAGGUCAAGAUCAACGGAAGUAAACAGCAACGCUGCGGAGUCUGCCACGCCACCCACGCCCACACAGUGCCCCCACGCCUCCACGCCCACACAGUGCCCCCACGCCUCCACGCCCACACAGUGCCCCCACGCCUCCACGCCCACACAGUGCCCCCACGCCCACACAGUGCCUCCACGCCCACACAGUGCCUUCACGCCUCUACGCCCACACAGUGCCUCCACGCCUCCACGCCCACACAGUGCCCCCACCCCUCCACGCCCACACAGUGCCCCCACGCCUCCACGCCCACACAGUGCCCCCACGCCCACCCAGUGCCCCCACGCCUCCACGCCCACACAUCACCCCUGGUGCUGGUGCAGCAGCGAGGGUCUGAGGGUGCCGUGCUGCGUCCUCUCUGCCGCUGACUUCUGUUGCAGUGGAGGCUGCAGGGCCGGGCAUCAGCCUGAGGGGCCAGGACCAGCAGGAGCAGCCUGCCACUGCUGGAAGGAGCUGAGAUGAGACCAGACUCAGCCCUCCAGUGAGCCCAGGAGACCACCAAGGGGACACCCACGUACCUCAUCACCACGCAUGGUGACUGUGGGUGAGUGAAGCAACCCACCCCAGUGUAUGCUCAGGCACAAGGCUACGUCAGGUCAGGGGCUGCCUCAAGAACAGGUACUUCCCCUCACUGAUUCUCUCCAUGUUUCCUCCGUUUUUCCCUUCUUUCCUCUCUUCCUCUUUUCCUUCUAUACCAAAAAGUAGUUUAAUCUUUCCUCUUCCUCCUCCUGUCUUCCUCUUCUUCCUCCUCCUCUUCGUUUCCCUGUUCUCUCCACUUUUAUCAAGGUCUGUGUAUUUCUCCAGUGUAAUUUUGGUGGUUUCGUUCAUUUCCUCUUCCAAGUUCAACUCCAUUUCUCUCCCUUUUCCUUCCUCUCUUCCUACGUCAAAAAAUAAUUUACUUUCCUCUUCCUCCUCCUCUUUGUUUCCCUGUUAUCUCCACUUUUAUCAAGGUUUGUGUAUUUCUCCGGGAUUAAUUUUGGUGGUUUUGUUCAUUUCCUCUUCCAAGUUCAACUCCAUUUCUCUCCCUUUUCCUUCCUCUCUUCCUACGUCAAAACAUAAUUUAAUCUUUCCUCUUCCUCCUCUUGUCUUCCUCUUCUUCCUCCUCCUCUUUGUUUCCCUGUUAUCUCCACUUUUAUCAAGGUUUGUGUAUCUCUCCGGGAUUAAUUUUGGUGGGUUCGGUCAUUUCCUCCUCCAAGUUCAAGUCCAUUUUUCUCCACCUCUUCUUCCUAUCCUCUUAUACCAAAAAAUAGCUUAAUCUUUCCUCUUCCUCCUCCUGUCUUCCUCUUCUUCCUCCUCCUCUUCGUUUCCCUGUUAUUUCCACUUUUAUCAAGGUCUGUGUAUUUCUCAAGUGUAAUUUUGGUGGUUUUGUUCAUUUCCUCCUCCAAGUUCAAGUCCAUUUUUCAUUCCUCUCUUCCUCCUAUACAAAAAAAUAGUUUAAUCUUCCCUCUUCCUCCUCCUCUUCGUUUCCCUGUUAUCUCCACUUUUAUCAAGGUCUGUGUAUUUCUCCGGCAUAAUUUUGGUGGUUUCGUUCAUUUCCUCCUCCAAGUUCGACUCCAUUUUCUCUCCCUUUUCCUUCCUCCUCCUCUUCGUUUCCCUGUUAUCUCCACUUUUAUCAAGGUCUGUGUCUUUGAAAACUUUGCAGAAUGGACGAAAAAAAACACCAGAAAUUGCUUGAAUAUUUAUUGACCAAACUGACUCUUCUUGCAGAGAGAGAGAGAGGGGGGGGGUCCCUUAUGUGUCUGGGGGGGCAUGUGUCUGUGGGGGUUGUAAACACACUGUGGGGACACCCUGUGGGGCCUGAGAGAGAGAGAGAGAGAGAGAGAGAGAGAGAGAGAGAGAGAGAGAGACACACACACACACACACACACACACACACACACACACACACACACACACACACACACACACACACAC